Oncorhynchus gorbuscha (pink salmon) is the source of this 3930-nucleotide long non-coding RNA. RefSeq lists it as uncharacterized. The record is from RefSeq and is a predicted model, not a curated record. Lineage: Eukaryota; Metazoa; Chordata; Actinopteri; Salmoniformes; Salmonidae. The transcript is spliced from 4 exons.
GUGGCAUCCAUAAGUCUAAAUAUUGCUGUUACAUUGCACAACCUUCAAUGUUAUGUCAUAAUUAUGUAAAAGUCUGGCAAAUUAAUUACUGUCUUUGUUAGGAUGAGUUUGGGCGGCCCAAACUGCUGCAUAUACCCUGACUGUGCUUGUACAGAACGCAAGAGAGGUGACACAAUUUCCCUAGUUAAUAUUGCCUGCUAACAUGAAUUUAUUUUAACUAAAUAUGCAGGUUUAAAAUAAUAUACUUGUGUAUUGAUUUUAAGAAAGGCAUUGAUGUUUAUGGUUAGGUACACAUUGGUGCGAUGACAGUGCUUUAUUCGCGAAUGCGCAUGUUAUAUCGUCACCCGUUUGGCAAAGUAGGCUGUGAUACGAUGAUAAAUUAACAGGCACCACAUUGAUUAUAUGCAACGCAGGACAAGCUAGUUAAACUAGUAUAAUAAUCAGCCAUGUGUAGUUAACUAGUGAUUAUUUUAAGAUUGAUUGUUUUUUAUAAGAUAAGUUUGAUGCUGGCUUGCAACUUACAUUGGCUCCUUGCUGCACUCGUGGAGUGCAAUGUGAUCGGUGUCCAAAAAUGCAGAUUACCGAUUGUUAAGAAAACUUGAAGUUGACCUCUAGUCUGUACGGGGGAUAAUUUGAUGUAGGCCUCAUUAAACAUUGUGUACUUCCUACAAGUUCGUGUUAUGCUGUGUUCAGUGUGACACAGUGUGUUCGUGUGGGCUGAAUCGUGUUGGCUUGGGCCUGCCUUGCUGUUGCUGUCUACGUACAUGCACAAGUGCAUGUGUGUGCUAUUAUUCUAUAUUUUUUUGAACGUGUGUCAUGAUACCUUUCCCCUUUCCCAAAUCAGGAGAGGCAGUGUGAGCGGACUGACUCUGAAGCUGAUCAAGGCAUCCGUGACGGAGAUGCUGGAUACUGUCUGAUGACGACUAUGUCAACGUGGCCAGGUCUUUCUUCAAACUCUCUUCUGCUCUGUCCUUCUCUCUCCUGCCCUGUUUCAGUUUAAUGAGAAGGCAGAGGCAGUGGUCCCUUGCUUCAAACCCCUGGUCCAGGCCAACGUUCGAAACAAGAAGAUCUUCAAAGAGACAAGAGUGCAGAUCAUGCAAGCUAAAGGCACCACAAACUACAAGUCUGGUUUCCACUUUGCCUAUGUGGCUCUAUAGGAGUAGACAGUGUUAUAUAUGGAAUGGGUGAUCCUGUUUGGCUUAGUUGGUAAGAGUGUAACAGUUGUUAAAGUACUAUGUGAAUUUCACCAGGUUCAUGUAUUAAUAUGUUGUGUUUAUUUGUUAUUAUGCAUGCUUGCAUCCUGGGAGAAGGGGAGUGUGUACUUACCUUUUGCCCUGCGUGCUCGUGCUCGAAUCAUUUUGAUGCACUGAGAGGUAGGGACGCUUUUUCUGUCUUCAGAAAAGUUUGAUUCUUUUAAGUACAAAGUCAAAACACACAGUGUUUUGUUCAUGAAUAAUGAUGCAUAUUUAGAGGUCACUCAAAAGUGGAUGCACUUGUAAUUGUACUUUUUAGGAUGAUCUCAACAUUCUGAAUUCAACAUAUAGUUAAUAGCUAGUUAAGGUAUUAGCAGGCUAUUGUAUGUGUGAACGAUGGCUAAGCUCCUCGAAUGAUCCCAGUCCCUCCUAUUGUGCAUCUGUUGUAGAAAGAGGCGACGAUUCGCAGAACAUAUGUGCUCAACAAAUGUUUUAUUUCGUUUUGGAUGCAGGUAUGUGGUUUUAUCUAUGUAAAAUAUGUUAUGUAUAAUAAGGAGAGAAUGUACACAUUUUUGUAUUCAAAAAUCAUUGUGAUGCACUAUGAGAGAAAGAGGCGACGAUUUGCGGAACAUAUGUGCUCUACAAACGUUUUAUUUCCUUUUGGAUGCAGAUGCAGGAUGCAGAGAGUGAGUUCUGCUUGAUUAAAACUACCUGAUCUGCAAAGUCCACGUCUAUAGUCUCAAUCAACCUCACACAACGCAGAGUUAAAUGUGUGCUUCUAGACCCGGAUUCAUCGUUGAUCGACGUCAGCUCAAUCACCGCUGCGCUGCUGCUCUAGAGACAAAUUAUAUCAUUGAGGUACUCUUGCCGCCUUGUGGCAAAAAGCGGAACUACAGUAUUUUUCCUGUUUAUUUUAUUUCUGACAACGAUGUAUUGAGAGCGCUGUUUAUAGUUAACCAACAUAGAAGUGUGUUCAUCAACAGACAUUUUAACGUAACAUUAGUGGUUUUACAAUGGUGAUGAACCCAAUUCACUGCUGGGAGGGGGAGGUUUUUCUCAUACUCUGAUCAAACCCCUGUAAAGUGUGUAGGUGCAGGAGGUUCCUCCAUGUUCUGCUCCAUAAAAUUUUGGGAUGAAAGCCCUUCAUCCUUUGUUAAUCCAAAUGCCCCUGUAGAUGGUCUAGCUGAGCUGGUCACUCAGCUAGCCCGGGAAAUAGGGAGCUCCAUUAGGGAAUAACUACAGAGUGGCAGGUCCAGGAUUUAUGAGCCACCAGUAAGUACAGAAAAGAUAAGUGAUCAUCAUUCAGAGUCAGUAGGAUAUGUAGAUCUCAGUCAAAUUAAGUUUAUCAUGCAAUCAGACAUAAAGGAACCACCUACAUAUAGAGUAGAUGGUACAGACAAAUGCUCCAUUCAUGAAUGGGAGGAGUUGAUGGAGAAUAUACUUGAGUAGGAAGGGAUGUCCUGUUGGGGAACAAUCACAUGAGAUGAUUAGUCGAUUAUCUGGCAAAGCAAGAGACAUGGUAAAGAUACAUUUACCCAAUGAGACAACAGUUGAUCCUACAGAGAAGCCAGAGAUUGUAUUUGACAUUCUGAAACAGAAUGUCAGCGAAUUGGCCUAUUCAUGCAUGCCCUUGGCUGAUUUUUACAAUACUAAACCUAUACCCGUAGAGCCUGUUAUGGAGUAUUGGGUUUGAUUGAACAAGGCCGUAGAUGUCGCUGACGAGGGCCUUAACCUCUCUAGGAUAGGGGACGCUAGCGUCUCACUUGGCCAAAAGCCAGGGAAAAUGUAGCGGGCAAAUUCAAAUAAAAUGAUAUCAGAAUCAAACUUUCAUUCAAUCACACAUGUAAGAUACUAAAUUAAAGCUUCACUCGUUGUGAAUCCAGCCAACAUGUCAGAUUUUUAACUUGUUAUGGAAGCGGUCCCGAGGUCGGCGAAAGCAUAAGAAGCUAUUAUCUGAUGAUAGCACAACAGUAAACGAAGAGAGUAGCAUAUUUCAACCCUGCAGGCGCUACACAAAACGCAUAAAUAAAAUAUAAAUCAUGCCUUUGACGAGCUUCUUUUGUUGGCACUCCAAUAUGUCCCAUAAACAUCACAAUUGGUCCUUUUGUUUGUCAAUGUAUCUGUUUUACUUCUGAAGAUCAGUUUAGCACCGACUGAAAAACCCGAUUCAAAUUCAACACAAACCUUCAAAUAGGUAUGUAAUGACACAUUAUAUCAACUCUUUAUAGUGUUUUAUUUACAUUUUAGAGGUGAUAAUGUGAUAAGAUGGACAGAUCGAGUGGGAAAAAAAGCAGUUUCCCCACACGACAUCUCCCUCUCACUAUCACGCAAAUAGGUUUUGAUUCCCCACCGGCCAUUUUUUAAAAGACCCGACGGAGCUCAUUGCCUUCUUGAUUCAUGCAGAGAUGGGCAUCAUGAAGGUCUCAUCAAUGAUUUUUUGGAAAAGAGGAGACAUUGUUCUUUACAAUGGUAUUGAUAUUACAGUUGAUAUGGAAGUACUACUUUUUUGGGCGCUAAAAUAAAGUCAAUUGUACGGACCGGCGCAAUGUACAAAAACCGGGGUGAUGUUUGGAAAGGACAUUUUCCUAUCAUUAAAGGAUAAAUGGUCCGGUUAGCCCUGACCAUUAUCCGUUUCGAAUUCACCAACUCAAAGACGCUUGCCCGCUCCAUCAUAACUUCGUACGUUUUCCCUCCCUGUUUAGAUCAAACGUCCUGCCUGUAAAUCCUGGGUAUGCCC